RNAcentral lists this ribosomal RNA (250 nucleotides) under uncultured prokaryote. RNAcentral describes it as "partial 16S ribosomal RNA". It matches the Rfam family "Bacterial small subunit ribosomal RNA", at positions 524 to 773 of the family's 1533-position model. The record is from RNAcentral.
UACAGAGGUCUCGAGCGUUGUUCGGAUUUACUGGGCGUAAAGGGCGCGUAGGCGGCGGAAUGUGUCGGAUGUGAAAUCUCCGGGCUCAACCCGGAAAGUGCGUCCGAAACUAUUCCGCUCGAGUGCGGGAUGGGGAAUCGGAAUAUAGGGUGUAGCGGUAAAAUGCGUUGAUAUCCUAUAGAACACCGGAGGCGAAGGCGGAUUCCUGGAACGCAACUGGCGCUGAGGCGCGAAAGUCGGGGGAGCAAAC